CCUCCUGCUUAUUUCAGGGUAUAAGAAUCACAGUUAGUUUUUCCUCUGCCACGGGGUAAUUACGAUUUUGUCCUAACCUGGUGCACUGGGAGGACAGCUGGACUGCAAGCACUGGAAACCACUUAACUGGAGGGUGGCAUCACUAUGACAGGACUGGACAACUGGCCAUGACUAAAUACAAGGCUUCAUUUUCAUACUAAAACAAAUAGCAAGAGUUAGCAGCAACCAAACAGUUAUGGUCCUCUCCACGCCUCACUCUCAUCUCUUCUCUUAAAUCUUCUACCUGGCUACAUCAGAGAGCAUUUCUUCAACUCAGUUCCUGGGGAAGAAUCCAGAACUGUGAGCUAAGUGGGAAGCUGUCUCCUACAGUUUAGGAGAAAAGGUAGAGACACCAGAAUGGGACUGAAAAUGAUCCAUCCAGUGCAAGUCAAUGGGAAAUACUGAGAAUGCAUUUAGUGGGUUGGAGAGAAAUUCUAAACCUCUGCUAUUCUUUCAAGAUAAUUGAGAAAAAAAUGAAUGAGAGAAAUGGGACUGACUGCACCUCCUGGACUUCCCAGCCUACAUCAAGAUAUAUGAAUGUGUGGAGCACCUGAGGGAGAAGAAAGGAACAACAGUAUAGUGUGAAGAAAAUUCCCUGACGUUCUGGAAGAGUUAUAAAUAUAUGUGAGAAGGAGAUUCAGAAGUAAAAUAACCUUGGCUACCAUUUUCACACUUGUGUAGGUAUUUCCAGAAGAAGAAUAGUGAUGAGUAUGGGAACAAUGAUGAGCUGAAAUGACAAAGUGUCGAUAAGCUCCUCAAAUUUGGCUUUUUAAAGGUCAGAAAGUUUUUAACAUUAGAACGUUGAAGGACUGGAAAAUAGUAUAGCACACGCUAUAAAUCUUCUAGCAGACGCCUGAAGAAAGCUAUAAAAAAAAAUCAGUAUUACAACAUACAUAUGAUUGAAUUUCAAUGAAUCAUCAUUUUAUAGUGGCCAUGACAUGAAAUCUCCAUCUUCCUCUGAAAUUGAAGGUUAAGAAUGAUACGCUGUUUUACAUUGCCCUGAUGUUUAUAUAGAAUUCUGAAAACAGCAUGAAGGAAAGCAUAAAAAUAAAGCAGACAUAUUAAAAACCUUGUAAGAUAACAGGGAAACCACUGCUCUUUACAGAGAAUAUUAUUUUGUUAUUGUUAUUUAGUGAACUGGGAAAAAUUCUCACAUUAAAUUACUGUUAUCCUGCAUUCCAUUACUGUAACAAUCAAGACUGCCUUUCUUUGGGUGCUGUAGCUUUAUAUAUAACAUACCUAAACCAUAUGUCCGAAGAUUUUUAGACUUUAGCCACCUGAGAACUGCAAUGUAGAAUCACCAUGAAAUGCUCAGCCUGAACUGUUCACUUACAAUAAAAGUGAACAGAUAAAAAAGGAGAAGUUAUAGUUCUACACAUUUGUUAGACUUUAUAGACUUAAAUGGUCCAUUUCAUGAAUCAGAUCAUCAGGACAUACCAGCUACUUCUGCUUGUCUGAAAAUCUUAAUAACAGUGUAUAAUGCUUUUCCUGUCACUUCUAUUGUUUUAAGUAAGGCUAGGUCAUAAUAAGGCCUUGUAUGAAAAUGACCCCUUCUUAUUCAGUGGGUUUGGUUCCAUGUUUAGCUCAUCUAUGUAAUAUAUGUGGUUAAGUAGGAUGGGUUUGUAAUUAUCACUUAGCUCCAGGCAGCACAAUUUAUCGAGGCAGUAAAAGUGAGUAAUCUGGAAUGUAGCCCUGCUCACACCUCAUCAGCAGAUUGUUUCCUGCAGCCCAGCUCCUGGAGGAGUGCUAGAUGUGAGCAAAUCCAUCGAGGGCAAUCAAAAUGCACAGGUAUUACUCAAGGCUGAAAAGGAAAACAACACGCCUGCCCAGACAUCUGACAUCAGCAUUCAGCCUUAUGUGACCUGCAUUACUGGAGCUGAUGUAUAGGGAGGAAAACUGCCACACAGAGCUUCAAGGUACAGCAAUGAUUUUUCUGGGAUGAUACUUGGUCAAAAAUGCAGUUAGGCUGAUAUCCUAUAAACAAAAUAAUCUUUUUUGGAAUUACCAUACAAAAUAGAUGGGUACUAGCACUCUUACCAGAAAGUUUGUAUUAUGACUCUAUAUUAGUUCAGGGUUAAAAUUUCUAAAGAAAAUUUUAUUUUCGUUUUUUUGUCAAGCUACUGGUUCAGAGCCUUGGCUGUGUGGAUCAUCUCAUUUAAGUUGGCAACAUAACCAAUUUAACAUAACCAUAUUAAUCCAUGGUGUGAGCCAGUUACCAACAUGAAUUUGGCCUGUUAUGCUCUGCACUUUUUGGGAAACAAAGCAGACAUAUAUUUUUUUUUUUAAUGUAUUUUAAACUAGUAGCUUUAGAAGUUAGUUUCAACUAUUUUUUUCCAGAAGCUUUUACUGAGUUCAAGAGCUUACACUGAAUUUCCUCCCAGAUAAAUUUCUUCCCUUGUGUUCCAUUUCACUAAAGUGAGAGAUUCCAUUUUGUGGUAAACUAACUAAUUUAGAAAUUUAUUUAGCUAUCUGUAAGUCCCAAAAUGAAUUCAGCAUUUUCGUUGCCCUAUUUCUCAUUAAUCUACAGGCCAGAUGCAUUAUCUCACUUCCAGUUCCAAUGAAAUGAGAAAGAGGAUUACUUUUUUAAUUCCCAUUUGCCAUCAGUGCAGCAGUCCUGGAGCAUUAGAAGUCCAUCUCUCCAUUUAUUUUUAGUACUCUGAUUAUUGCCCACAGUUUGGAAACAACUUCUGCAAUACCCAGUGCUGCAAUAUGGAUCUCCAUUGAAGUAUUAAACAGCCUAUCUUGGGCUCAAUUACCACUUUGACAAAAUUAAAUUGACAAUGUUGAGUUUGAGUUUUAUUUGAGAGCAGUAGAAAUAAAGUGACUUUUUGAUGCUCAAAACUAGGGAGAUCUUAUAAGGAAAGACUAGCUCUUUUUUUUUUUUUAUGUUGAGAUAAAAGAAUAGCCCUUUGAUUACAAUGCUGGGAAGCAGCAUUGCUUGAGUUACUAACAAUAGAAUGCAUUGCCAAUGCGUCUUGAAAGCCUGGCUCUGUCUGUAGCCAGUACUUCAGGAUUCCUCCAAGGGUUGUCCUGUAUAGACACCUUGUUACCUUCUGGCACAUCUGCAAGAAUGAGAAUGAAGAAUGCCUGGUUUUGCUGUUGUUGAAAUUACACUUGGAUUUUGAACCUGGUAGGGAAUCAGACACUUCUCUUUCCUGGUGUUUCCACCCAUAUUUUUCCUGUGUUCAUUUUACCCUCCCAUACUCCCACUUCGACUUGAUCACCUAGUUAAUCUUGUUCACUCUUCUAGAAUCUGGAAGCUCUUGUUAGCAAUCCAGAAAUAAGGUUGUGUUUUGCAGUUUGUGGUAUUGUCCCCAUAAAAGCACAGAAUAAGAACUUAAGUGCUGGAAAUCUCAGGCUUUGCAGUAGAAGCUGUAAAGGACUUGGUUACAGCUGCUCCAUGGUAACAGGUGAGCAGAUAGGAGCUUCCUUUGCCCAUGCUUCAAAUCAAAUAGAUAUGAUCUAGCUGGGUACAUGAUGCAGGGCAUCUGUGACAUUACCAGGGUGAGGUUGUCCUGACUUGUUUUAGAAGCUCACUUAAAAAUAAAGAUUUAAAAAUAAAUUACUGUGGUUUCUUUUAUGUGUGCAUUUUAAAUUGUUUCCCUGAGAUUUUAAGGCACAUCAGGUACAAGAACAACUUACAAUUUUUUCUUCACUUGUGUUAAUGUCCACUCAGCCCUAUUAAGAAUCCUAAGGGUGUGUGCAUUUUCAUGUUGGAAAUUUUAUCAAACUGAACAUUUCUGUCCUAGUUAGCACUGAGAAAAAGAGAAAAGAAACUGGAAAUAGGUGGAAAAUUCACCUCAAUCUCU
Corvus hawaiiensis (hawaiian crow) is the source of this 3848-nucleotide long non-coding RNA. RefSeq lists it as uncharacterized. The record is from RefSeq and is a predicted model, not a curated record. The transcript has 4 exons. NCBI's taxonomy places the organism in Eukaryota, Metazoa, Chordata, Aves, Passeriformes, Corvidae.